Molecule: transfer RNA, 81 nt
Organism: Tuber melanosporum (Perigord truffle)
Lineage: Eukaryota; Fungi; Ascomycota; Pezizomycetes; Pezizales; Tuberaceae
Rfam family: tRNA
About the family: Transfer RNA (tRNA) molecules are approximately 80 nucleotides in length. Their secondary structure includes four short double-helical elements and three loops (D, anti-codon, and T loops).
Source: Rfam
GGAUGGAUGGCCGAGUGGUUAUGGCGCUAGCUUCAGGUGCUAGUGGGGCAACCCGCGUGAGUUCGAUCCUCACUCCAUUCA